RNAcentral lists this transfer RNA (91 nucleotides) under Burkholderiales bacterium. Its description in RNAcentral is "tRNA-Ser". It matches the Rfam family "tRNA". Rfam says of the family: Transfer RNA (tRNA) molecules are approximately 80 nucleotides in length. Their secondary structure includes four short double-helical elements and three loops (D, anti-codon, and T loops). Further hydrogen bonds mediate the characteristic L-shaped molecular structure. tRNAs have two regions of fundamental functional importance: the anti-codon, which is responsible for specific mRNA codon recognition, and the 3' end, to which the tRNAs corresponding amino acid is attached (by aminoacyl-tRNA synthetases). tRNAs cope with the degeneracy of the genetic code in two manners: having more than one tRNA (with a specific anti-codon) for a particular amino acid; and 'wobble' base-pairing, i.e. permitting non-standard base-pairing at the 3rd anti-codon position. RNAcentral also lists the same sequence under 4 other names. The record is from RNAcentral. Lineage: Bacteria; Pseudomonadati; Pseudomonadota; Betaproteobacteria; Burkholderiales.
GGAGGGAUGGAUGAGUGGUUUAAGUCGCACGCCUGGAAAGCGUGUAGGGGUGAAUAGCCCCUCGGGGGUUCGAAUCCCCCUCCCUCCGCCA